This 359-nucleotide ribosomal RNA is filed under the name Campsicnemus brevitibia. RNAcentral's name for it is "partial 12S ribosomal RNA". Lineage: Eukaryota; Metazoa; Arthropoda; Insecta; Diptera; Dolichopodidae. The record is from RNAcentral.
AAAAUNAGAGUAGUAAUANNNAAGGUCUNGAANCUCNAAGAAUUUGNCGGUANUUUAGUCUAUUCAGAGGAACUUGUAAUUUAAUCGAUAAUCCACGAUGGAUCUUACUUAAUCUUGUAUUUAAAUUUGUAUAUCGCCGUUAUUUGAAAAUUUUAUAAGAAAAAUAAUUUUCUAAAAUUUUUAUUAAAAAAUAAAUCAGGUCAAGGUGCAGUUUAUGAUUAAGUUUUAUAUGAGUUACAAUAAAUUUAUUUAUACGAAUUAAAAAAUGAAAUAUUUUUAAGAAGGNGGAUUUGAAAGUAAAUUUUUAAAGAUAAAAAAAUUGAUUAUAGCUCUAAAAUANGUACACNUCGCCCGUCNCU